AUGAGCUCCGGGAUGGGGAAGGUGGUGUGCGUCACCGGCGCCUCGGGCUACAUCGCCUCCUGGCUCGUCAAGCUCCUCCUUCACCGCGGCUACACCGUCCGCGCCACCGUCAGGGACACCGCCGACCCCAAGAAAACAUUGCACCUGCAGGCCCUGGAUGGAGCCAAGGACAGGCUCCACUUGUUCAAAGCAAGCUUGUUGGAAGAAGGCUCUUUCGAUGCUGCCGUUGCCGGCUGCGAUUGUGUCUUCCACACGGCCUCUCCCUUUUAUCACAAUGUCAAGGAUCCCAAGGCUGAGUUACUUGACCCAGCUGUCAAUGGAACACUCAAUGUUCUCCGUUCCUGCAAGAAAGCCUCUAUCAAGAGAGUGAUCAUAACGUCGUCCAUGGCUGCUGUUGCCUACAAUGGGAAGCCAAGAACUCCUGAUGUAGUGGUUGAUGAGACAUGGUUUUCAAGUGCAGAGGUCUGUGAAAAGAAUGAGCAAUGGUAUGUGCUAUCCAAGACCCUUGCUGAGGAAGCUGCAUGGAAGUUCGCAAAUGAUAAUGGAUUUGAAAUAGUUACAAUAAACCCAGCAAUGGUCAUCGGUCCCCUGUUGCAGCCUACACUGAAUACUAGCGCAGAAGCAAUAUUGAAGUUUAUAAAUGGAUCAUCUUCUACAUACCCCAAUUUCAGCUUUGGCUGGGUAAAUGUUAAAGAUGUUGCCCUGUCACAUAUCCUUGCAUAUGAAGUUCCUUCGGCAAACGGAAGAUACUGUAUGGUUGAAAGAGUUGCUCACCACUCGGAGAUUGUCAAGAUCAUACACGAAAUGUACCCCAAUUUUCCAGUGCCAGACAAGUGUGCAGAUGACGCACCAUUUGUCCCUAUCUACCAGGUAUCGAAGGACAAGAUAAGAAGUUUGGGUAUGGAGCUGAUUCCCCUGGAGACGAGCCUCAAGGAGACUAUCGAGAGCUUGAGAGAGAAAGGAUUUGUUACUUCUGAGUCAAGCCAUCUAUGA
RNAcentral lists this ribosomal RNA (993 nucleotides) under Triticum aestivum (bread wheat). RNAcentral's name for it is "partial small subunit ribosomal RNA". The record is from RNAcentral. Lineage: Eukaryota; Viridiplantae; Streptophyta; Magnoliopsida; Poales; Poaceae.